UUUGGCUAAUGGGUUUUUCCU
RNAcentral lists this non-coding RNA (21 nucleotides) under Caenorhabditis elegans. The record is from RNAcentral. Lineage: Eukaryota; Metazoa; Nematoda; Chromadorea; Rhabditida; Rhabditidae.